Molecule: ribosomal RNA, 195 nt
Filed under: Oenococcus oeni
Lineage: Bacteria; Bacillati; Bacillota; Bacilli; Lactobacillales; Lactobacillaceae
Description: partial 23S ribosomal RNA
Rfam family: Bacterial large subunit ribosomal RNA
Source: RNAcentral
CAAGAGCACCGCUGGGUAGCUACGUAUGGAUUAGAUAAUCGCUGAAAGCAUCUAAGUGAGAAACUAACCUCGAGAUGAGAUUUCCCAUUCGUCAGAAGUAAGACCCCUGAGAGACGAUCAGGUAGAUAGGCUAGAAGUGGAAGUGUAGUGAUGCAUGGAGCGGACUAGUACUAAUAGGUCGAGGACUUAACCAAG